UCAUAGUAUGCCGAGCACGCUAAUUGCAUGUACAACACUUGGGAAGAUAGUCAUACUCUACAGUGACGAUGACCUACGACAAUAUACUAACAUUCACUCAUGAUUUAUUCCAAUGUUAAAUGUAAUGACUGUUGUCUGUAGCAGCAAACCUGAUCAUUCAUAGUAUGCCGAGCACGCUAAUUGCAUGUACAACACUUGGGAAGAUAGUCAUACUCUACAGUGACGAUGACCUACGACAAUAUACUAACAUUCACUCAUGAUUUAUUCCAAUGUUAAAUGUAAUGACUGUUGUCUGUAGCAGCAACCCUGAUCAUUCAUAGUAUGCCGAGCACGCUAAUUGCAUGUACAACACUUGGGAAGAUAGUCAUACUCUACAGUGACGAUGACCUACGGCAAUAUACUAACAUUCACUCAUGAUUUAUUCCAAUGUUAAAUGUAAUGACUGUUGUCUGUAGCAGCAACCCUGAUCAUUCAUAGUAUGCCGAGCACGCUAAUUGCAUGUACAACACUUGGGAAGAUAGUCAUACUCUACAGUGACGAUGACCUACGACAAUAUACUAACAUUCACUCAUGAUUUAUUCCAAUGUUAAAUGUAAUGACUGUUGUCUGUAGCAGCAACCCUGAUCAUUCAUAGUAUGCCGAGCACGCUAAUUGCAUGUACAACACUUGGGAAGAUAGUCAUACUCUACAGUGACGAUGACCUACGGCAAUAUACUAACAUUCACUCAUGAUUUAUUCCAAUGUUAAAUGUAAUGACUGUUGUCUGUAGCAGCAACACUGAUCAUUCAUAGUAUGCCGAGCACGCUAAUUGCAUGUACAACACUUGGGAAGAUAGUCAUACUCUACAGUGACGAUGACCUACGGCAAUAUACUAACAUUCACUCAUGAUUUAUUCCAAUGUUAAAUGUAAUGACUGUUGUCUGUAGCAGCAACACUGAUCAUUCAUAGUAUGCCGAGCACGCUAAUUGCAUGUACAACACUUGGGAAGAUAGUCAUACUCUACAGUGACGAUGACCUACGACAAUAUACUAACAUUCACUCAUGAUUUAUUCCAAUGUUAAAUGUAAUGACUGUUGUCUGUAGCAGCAACACUGAUCAUUCAUAGUAUGCCGAGCACGCUAAUUGCAUGUACAACACUUGGGAAGAUAGUCAUACUCUACAGUGACGAUGACCUACGACAAUAUACUAACAUUCACUCAUGAUUUAUUCCAAUGUUAAAUGUAAUGACUGUUGUCUGUAGCAGCAACACUGAUCAUUCAUAGUAUGCCGAGCACGCUAAUUGCAUGUACAACACUUGGGAAGAUAGUCAUACUCUACAGUGACGAUGACCUACGGCAAUAUACUAACAUUCACUCAUGAUUUAUUCCAAUGUUAAAUGUAAUGACUGUUGUCUGUAGCAGCAACACUGAUCAUUCAUAGUAUGCCGAGCACGCUAAUUGCAUGUACAACACUUGGGAAGAUAGUCAUACUCUACAGUGACGAUGACCUACGACAAUAUACUAACAUUCACUCAUGAUUUAUUCCAAUGUUAAAUGUAAUGACUGUUGUCUGUAGCAGCAACACUGAUCAUUCAUAGUAUGCCGAGCACGCUAAUUGCAUGUACAACACUUGGGAAGAUAGUCAUACUCUACAGUGACGAUGACCUACGGCAAUAUACUAACAUUCACUCAUGAUUUAUUCCAAUGUUAAAUGUAAUGACUGUUGUCUGUAGCAGCAACCCUGAUCAUUCAUAGUAUGCCGAGCACGCUAAUUGCAUGUACAACACUUGGGAAGAUAGUCAUACUCUACAGUGACGAUGACCUACGACAAUAUACUAACAUUCACUCAUGAUUUAUUCCAAUGUUAAAUGUAAUGACUGUUGUCUGUAGCAGCAACACUGAUCAUUCAUAGUAUGCCGAGCACGCUAAUUGCAUGUACAACACUUGGGAAGAUAGUCAUACUCUACAGUGACGAUGACCUACGACAAUAUACUAACAUUCACUCAUGAUUUAUUCCAAUGUUAAAUGUAAUGACUGUUGUCUGUAGCAGCAACACUGAUCAUUCAUAGUAUGCCGAGCACGCUAAUUGCAUGUACAACACUUGGGAAGAUAGUCAUACUCUACAGUGACGAUGACCUACGACAAUAUACUAACAUUCACUCAUGAUUUAUUCCAAUGUUAAAUGUAAUGACUGUUGUCUGUAGCAGCAACACUGAUCAUUCAUAGUAUGCCGAGCACGCUAAUUGCAUGUACAACACUUGGGAAGAUAGUCAUACUCUACAGUGACGAUGACCUACGACAAUAUACUAACAUUCACUCAUGAUUUAUUCCAAUGUUAAAUGUAAUGACUGUUGUCUGUAGCAGCAACACUGAUCAUUCAUAGUAUGCCGAGCACGCUAAUUGCAUGUACAACACUUGGGAAGAUAGUCAUACUCUACAGUGACGAUGACCUACGACAAUAUACUAACAUUCACUCAUGAUUUAUUCCAAUGUUAAAUGUAAUGACUGUUGUCUGUAGCAGCAACACUGAUCAUUCAUAGUAUGCCGAGCACGCUAAUUGCAUGUACAACACUUGGGAAGAUAGUCAUACUCUACAGUGACGAUGACCUACGACAAUAUACUAACAUUCACUCAUGAUUUAUUCCAAUGUUAAAUGUAAUGACUGUUGUCUGUAGCAGCAACACUGAUCAUUCAUAGUAUGCCGAGCACGCUAAUUGCAUGUACAACACUUGGGAAGAUAGUCAUACUCUACAGUGACGAUGACCUACGACAAUAUACUAACAUUCACUCAUGAUUUAUUCCAAUGUUAAAUGUAAUGACUGUUGUCUGUAGCAGCAACACUGAUCAUUCAUAGUAUGCCGAGCACGCUAAUUGCAUGUACAACACUUGGGAAGAUAGUCAUACUCUACAGUGACGAUGACCUACGACAAUAUACUAACAUUCACUCAUGAUUUAUUCCAAUGUUAAAUGUAAUGACUGUUGUCUGUAGCAGCAACACUGAUCAUUCAUAGUAUGCCGAGCACGCUAAUUGCAUGUACAACACUUGGGUAGAUAGUCAUACUCUACAGUGACGAUGACCUACGACAAUAUACUAACAUUCACUCAUGAUUUAUUCCAAUGUUAAAUGUAAUGACUGUUGUCUGUAAGUUGACGGUACUAUCAUAAAUUAAAUUUUACAAAUACUAAAGAAUGUUCAUAAAACUCCAUUGCCAUGUAAUUUUCCAUCAUAGGAAUUGAUCUUAGCUAUUUAAAUAUUUUAAAAUUCACUAUUAAUUACAUUUAGUGUCUAUCAUUGAAGGUUAAAGUGGCUCGGAUACUGUAUUUAAAUUGAUAUAUUUUCAUAUUUUUUUAAUGUACUCAGUGUAAAUCCUAUUUAAGGAAUAGACUCUUCUAUAAUAUGUUGUAAUUACGAUUAGAUCAGAAUUUUGUAUGUUAAGUGGUUAUUUCAUUCUAUAGCCAUUAGCUGCUGUUUAAAAUAUUUGUACUUUUGUAUUCCGUCAGUUGCUCUUGACAAUAAACGAAUCCUACACUUAUAUUUGCAAUAUAUACUAAUGUCUUAUCAAAAUUAUUUCUCCUUAUCACAUAUUAUUAGUUUAUGUUAUUCAAAAGUGUUUGAACAUUGUAGUAUUUUUUUUUAUAAUAGUCUCAUGCCCGUCAAUUGAAUACUAUCUGAAAUUUUGUGAUGUUUAGAAUGUAAUUUGCCUAAUAAUUCAGGUUUGUUUGUACCCAUCUAUGAAUUUUUAAGUGUUGUCUUCGGAACGA
This 3740-nucleotide long non-coding RNA is filed under the name Rhopalosiphum maidis (corn leaf aphid). RNAcentral describes it as "uncharacterized LOC113559620". The record is from RNAcentral. Lineage: Eukaryota; Metazoa; Arthropoda; Insecta; Hemiptera; Aphididae.